UGGGGAAUAUUGCACAAUGGGCGCAAGCCUGAUGCAGCCAUGCCGCGUGUGUGAAGAAGGCCUUCGGGUUGUAAAGCACUUUCAGCGAGGAGGAAGGUGGUGAACUUAAUACGUUCAUCAAUUGACGUUACUCGCAGAAGAAGCACCGGCUAACUCCGUGCCAGCAGCCGCGGUAAUACGGAGGGUGCAAGCGUUAAUCGGAAUUACUGGGCGUAAAGCGCACGCAGGCGGUUUGUUAAGUCAGAUGUGAAAUCCCCGGGCUCAACCUGGGAACUGCAUUUGAAACUGGCAAGCUAGAGUCUCGUAGAGGGGGGUAGAAUUCCAGGUGUAGCGGUGAAAUGCGUAGAGAUCUGGAGGAAUACCGGUGGCGAAGGCGGCCCCCUGGACGAAGACUGACGCUCAGGUGCGAAAGCGUGGGGAGCAAACAGGAUUAGAUACCCCUGGUAGUCCACGCUGUAAAACGAUGUCGAUUUUGGAGGUUGUGCCCUUGAGGCGUGGCUUCCGGAGCUAACGCGUUAAAUCGACCGCCUGGGGAGUACGGCCGCAAGGUUAAAACUCAAAGGAAUUGACGGGGUCAUAGCUGUUUCCU
RNAcentral lists this ribosomal RNA (589 nucleotides) under uncultured bacterium. RNAcentral's name for it is "partial 16S ribosomal RNA". It matches the Rfam family "Bacterial small subunit ribosomal RNA", at positions 355 to 1375 of the family's 1533-position model. The record is from RNAcentral.